UACGUAGGGGGCGAGCGUUGUCCGGAUUUAUUGGGCGUAAAGCGCUCGCAGGCGGUCCGAUGCGUCGUGCGUGAAAGCCCCCGGCUCAACUGGGGAGGGUCGUGCGAUACGGUCGGACUUGAGGCCAGUAGGGGGAUGCGGAAUUCCGGGUGUAGUGGUGGAAUGCGUAGAGAUCCGGAGGAACACCAGCGGCGAAGGCGACUUCCUGGCCUGUUCUUGACGCUGAGGCGCGAAAGCUAGGGGAGCAAACGGG
RNAcentral lists this ribosomal RNA (253 nucleotides) under uncultured bacterium. Its description in RNAcentral is "partial 16S ribosomal RNA". It matches the Rfam family "Bacterial small subunit ribosomal RNA", at positions 524 to 776 of the family's 1533-position model. The record is from RNAcentral.